UACGUAGGUGGCAAGCGUUGUCCGGAAUUAUUGGGCGUAAAGCGCGCGCAGGCGGCCUCUUAAGCCUGAUGUGAAAGCCCCCCGGCUCAACCGGGGGAGGGCCAUUGGAAACUGGGAGGCUUGAGUAUAGGAGAGAAGAGUGGAAUUCCACGUGUAGCGGUGAAAUGCGUAGAGAUGUGGAGGAACACCAGUGGCGAAGGCGACUCUUUGGCCUAUAACUGACGCUGAGGCGCGAAAGCGUGGGGAGCAAACAGG
RNAcentral lists this ribosomal RNA (255 nucleotides) under uncultured bacterium. RNAcentral's name for it is "partial 16S ribosomal RNA". It matches the Rfam family "Bacterial small subunit ribosomal RNA", at positions 524 to 776 of the family's 1533-position model. The record is from RNAcentral.